GGACGAACGCUGGCGGCGUGCCUAACACAUGCAAGUCGAACGGGACUAUAUUGAUUAAUCUUCGGAAGCGUUGGUAUAGUUUAGUGGCGGACGGGUGAGUAACACGUGAGCAACCUGCCUUUCGAGAGGGGGAUACCGUUUGGAAACGAACGCUAAUACCGCAUAACGUAACGGGACCGCAUGAUCCUGUUACCAAAGGAGCAAUCCGCUGAAAGAUGGGCUCGCGGCUGAUUAGAUAGUUGGUGGGGUAACGGCCUACCAAGUCGACGAUCAGUAGCCGGACUGAGAGGUUGAACGGCCACAUUGGGACUGAGACACGGCCCAGACUCCUACGGGAGGCAGCAGUGGGGAGUAUUGCGCAAUGGGGGCAACCCUGAACCGCAGCAACGCCGCGUGUGGGAAGAAGGUCUUCGGAUUGUAAACCAUUGUCUUCGGUGACGAUAAUGACGGUAGCCGAGGAGGAAGCUCCGGCUAACUACGUGCCAGCCGCGGC
This 493-nucleotide ribosomal RNA is filed under the name uncultured bacterium. RNAcentral's name for it is "bacterial SSU rRNA". It matches the Rfam family "Bacterial small subunit ribosomal RNA", at positions 27 to 518 of the family's 1533-position model. The record is from RNAcentral.